UACGAAGGGGGCUAGCGUUGUUCGGAAUCACUGGGCGUAAAGCGCACGUAGGCGGACUUUCAAGUCAGGGGUGAAAUCCCGGGGCUCAACCUCGGAAUUGCCUUUGAUACUGUAGGUCUCGAGUCCGGAAGAGGUGGGUGGAAUUCCUAGUGUAGAGGUGAAAUUCGUAGAUAUUAGGAAGAACACCGGUGGCGAAGGCGGCCCACUGGUCCGGUACUGACGCUGAGGUGCGAAAGCGUGGGGAGCAAACAGGAUUAGAAACCCGCGUAGUCC
Molecule: ribosomal RNA, 273 nt
Filed under: uncultured bacterium
Lineage: Bacteria
Description: partial 16S ribosomal RNA
Rfam family: Bacterial small subunit ribosomal RNA
Source: RNAcentral